UACAUGGGGUGCAAACGUUGCUCGGAAUUAUUGGGCGUAAAGCGCGCGUAUGCGGUUACUUAAGUCGGAUGUGAAAGCCCUCGGCUUAACUGAGGAAGUGCAUCCGAAACUGAGUAGCUAGAGUACGAAAGAGGGUCGCGGAAUUCCCGGUGUAGAGGUGAAAUUCGUAGAUAUCGGGAGGAACACCGGUGGCGAAGGCGGCGACCUGGGUCGAGACUGACGCUGAUGCGCGAAAGCGUGGGGAGCAAACAGG
This 253-nucleotide ribosomal RNA is filed under the name uncultured bacterium. Its description in RNAcentral is "partial 16S ribosomal RNA". It matches the Rfam family "Bacterial small subunit ribosomal RNA", at positions 524 to 776 of the family's 1533-position model. The record is from RNAcentral.